RNAcentral lists this transfer RNA (88 nucleotides) under Bacteroidota bacterium. RNAcentral's name for it is "Bacteroidetes bacterium (activated sludge metagenome) tRNA-Ser". It matches the Rfam family "tRNA". From Rfam's summary of the family: Transfer RNA (tRNA) molecules are approximately 80 nucleotides in length. Their secondary structure includes four short double-helical elements and three loops (D, anti-codon, and T loops). The record is from RNAcentral. Lineage: Bacteria; Pseudomonadati; Bacteroidota.
GGAGAGAUGCCGGAGUGGUCGAACGGGCUCGCCUGGAAAGUGAGUGUGCCCCAAAAGGGUACCCAGGGUUCGAAUCCCUGUCUCUCCG